Molecule: long non-coding RNA, 1016 nt
Organism: Ornithodoros turicata
Lineage: Eukaryota; Metazoa; Arthropoda; Arachnida; Ixodida; Argasidae
Exons: 3
Source: RefSeq, a predicted model, not a curated record
CAGAGACUGAGCUGGAGCCACCACCACUUGUCUCUGACCUCAAACCUUUCACAUUGCUUGACAGUAAUCAUUUUCACCUCAAAGAUGGUGUAGUGGUGUCGACCAACCUUCUCGACAGGUUGCACAAAUUAAAAGAACCGCAGAAGGUCAUCCGAGAGGCCGCACAAGCAAUCUGGGGAAACGAAGAUCUCUUGGGAAGAACCGUCGGCGGAAGGCUUCGCCGAAAGACAGAAAGAACGUCGACAAGGUGGCACGCAGAGGCCUUACACCACAGAAAGUUGACGCCAUUGCUGCAACUGUGAGGUACUGGGCAGACCUCCACAAAGACCUGAUAGCUGAGAAAGAAAUGGACAUACGUGGGACCUUGAACGAGAUGUCUACAAUAUUGUCAAUGAAGAUUCAGAAUGUCAGGAAGACAGCCAAGCGUAAACUUCAAGUGUGACUAUGGCGUUUGAAACGUGUUCCAGGGAACUAAAAACGUCACCGUGCAGUGUCUGCUGAGCAAAUCAAAUAGCGCUCACGUGUGUGUGAAAUUCUUGGUUAACUCUUCUUAAGACCCCUAAUUGCGUUUUUCAGUUUAUUGUUUUUACAUACAUUGUUUUGAUGGUGGUCCGUCCAAAUUGCAGUUGAUGCCCAGAGGUUCCGAGGCAAUCUCUCUUAAAAUUAUCUGGCAACUUCAAGCUUUUUUCAUGCACUGACAGGAAUAACUUUGUUGAUAAAACUUUCACUAGUGAAAUUGCAGGCUAUUGCUCUUCAUGCAGCAGUGUGAGUUUGAGGAGUUAACACAGACAGUUAAAUAAAUAUGUUGUGUUCUGCACUGAAGUAAGCACUGUAUGCACUGAAUGCUGUGUGAUAAUGUACUGAACAAAAUACUGCAAACGCUGUUAUAACGUUCUCUGCUUUCCCACGUGCGGUGUCAUUUCUUCCUCCAUGUACACACUAUGCAGCAAGUAAUGUUUUUUUUCCCCACCUACAAGUAGUUUGGUUUAUGCAACGAUUCCGACCUCAGAAACCAG